This 434-nucleotide ribosomal RNA is filed under the name uncultured bacterium. Its description in RNAcentral is "bacterial SSU rRNA". It matches the Rfam family "Bacterial small subunit ribosomal RNA", at positions 958 to 1392 of the family's 1533-position model. The record is from RNAcentral.
AACGCGAAGAACCUUACCCAGGCUUGAACAGCGAGUGACCACUCACGAAAGUGAGCUUCCGCAAGGACACUCGUAGUAGGUGCUGCAUGGCUGUCGUUAGCUCGUGUCGUGAGAUGUUGGGUUAAGUCCCGCAACGAGCGCAACCCUUGUCUGCUGUUGCCAUCACGUUAUGGUGGGCACUCCGCAGAGACUGCCGGUGAUAAACCGGAGGAAGGUGGGGAUGACGUCAAGUCAGCAUGGCCUUUAUGUCUGGGGCUACACACGUGCUACAAUGGCCGAUACAAACCGUCGCGAGCCCGCAAGGGGGAGCUAAUCGGAGAAAGUCGGUCUCAGUUCGGAUUGUCGGCUGCAACUCGCCGGCAUGAAGUUGGAAUCGCUAGUAAUCGCGGAUCAGCACGCCGCGGUGAAUACGUUCCCGGGUCUUGUACACACCG